This is a long non-coding RNA of Aedes aegypti (yellow fever mosquito), 1063 nucleotides long. RefSeq lists it as uncharacterized. The transcript has 3 exons. Lineage: Eukaryota; Metazoa; Arthropoda; Insecta; Diptera; Culicidae. The record is from RefSeq and is a predicted model, not a curated record.
GUUGUGUCCAGAUGUCCACGGUUGUUCAAGUCAACUAGUAAGUAUUUCAAAACUACGAGAUUGUGUUGGGAUUAUGAAUAGGAUGCGAUUUGUUCCCCUUCAAUUGGGAGAAUCAAUCGGAAAUUAAAGGUUGUGUGUAGUAUAAUUGCCAUUCUCAUAUCUUAUUUUUCUUCCACCGAAUUAUUUUCCCUGUUGAAACAACUGUAACCUAGAUGCCACUACAUACACUUUCAGUAACUUUGUAGUAGCUGACCGAAGAACGAUGAAAUGGGGAGAAGCGAGAAUACGAAAGAAAACAAUAUACAGAGCUGUCACAUUUGUAGUAUGGUGCACUUGACCCAGUUGAGUCACGUUAGGUGGGUGCCAUUCUAUUUUUGCUGCUGAAUUUGUAGACUUGUUGGUGGCGGCAGUCAAAUAGCGUAGUGUUAUAACUCAGUAGGAAUAGAACACGGCAGUGUAGCUUGCUGAAUGUUGACCCUUUCUUUCCUGAAGCAUUAACUAGUGUUUCGUCAGAAAGUCAGAUUCUACUGGAAGUAUCCAGCAAGAAGUGAAUGUUUCGGUACAUUGCUGCUUCGGGUAUUGCAAGGGGUACCAUUGGGCUGUGGUUGGCAUUUAGAAACGAUUCAAGUCCAAAGUGUCGGAUGUCGCGUCGCGUCGAUGGAAAUCAUCACCUGGCGUGAAAAUGACUUGUCGUGCGAGUAAUACUCUUACAACGGAAGUGCGUUUCUACCCAGCCAGCAGCAGCUUGGGAGAGUAGUAGGAUGUAGCUGCUUUCGGAAAAUUGGAAGGUUGUGCCUGGGAAUGACUAGGUACGUGUGAACCUUUCACUUUGGAAGUAUCAACUUCACACGAAAACCAGUUGAACAUAGAAGCUGGUUCUUUUCGACUGAGGAGUAUGCCAUCGUAAGUAAACGAUUUGUAGUAACUAGUUUGGAAUUAUUGCAAUUUAAAAUUUAAUCAGUUUUAUUAUAAGUUAUGAUCAUGGUUUAGUUUGGUAACAGGGUUGUGUGGUACCAGAUGGAUGGAUGCUAAUCAGUGUUAUUACAAUGUUACAAACCUAUGC